This 2736-nucleotide long non-coding RNA is filed under the name Gossypium barbadense (sea-island cotton). RNAcentral's name for it is "long non-coding RNA (GBAR_LNC001717)". The record is from RNAcentral. Lineage: Eukaryota; Viridiplantae; Streptophyta; Magnoliopsida; Malvales; Malvaceae.
AUUUCCUUCCCCUCUUCUUUCAAUCUGAUUCUCUUGGCCUCCCCCUCACCCUCUGGUAUCAACAGUCGAAAAAGCAUUCCCCUCUAGGUAAAUCAAUUUCCCCCCUUUUAGCUUUUCUAUCGCAAGAACAUGAGCAAAUUCAUUUGCUAAUCUUGGAACAUGAUUGAAACUGAUUUCUUGAAAAUUAUUCUUCAUUUGUUGAAUAUUUCUAAUGUAAACACCAAUCAGUGAUUUAUCAAAUUCCAAAGACUUACAUUUCUUAACUGCUGCUAAUGAAUCCCCUUCGAUAAUGACUUGGCUCCAUUCCUUAAUUUAUCAACACCCACACUCACCACAAGUUGACACGCUAAAGCUUCACCAGCGAAGGCCAACGCUACUCCCUCAUGGAAACUCAAACAAGCGAAAAGUACUGUUCCACCCUCAUCCCUAGCAACCACUCCUGACGCUGAUCAAAAACUCCGACCAUCAAAAGCACCAUCAAAGUUUAUUUUGAUGACUAAACUCGUCAGUGUUAUCCAAGUAACAAUCUCCUUACUCUUUGUAUUGGUAUAUUUCUCCAACCCUUCAAGUUCUCCUAUAUAGCUAGAAAUAAAAUUUGCAGUGUCUUUACCUGUAAUGACUUUCUUUUCAUAAAUCCUUCUGUUUCUAUCCUUCCAAAUAACCCAGAGUGCACAGUAGAUUAACUUCCUCAGAUGGGUAGUACAAGAUUCAAAAAUCCAAGUAAGCCAUUGUUUAAACUCUAGACUAUAGUUAUUCAAAAAUUGCUGACAGUUUAACUUUGACCAAACAUCGGCAUAGAUGAUCCAUUGAUUCGUCCACACCUAAACACCGAGGGCAGCAAGCAUUUGCGAUUAACUUCUUAGAGUUUAAGUUAGCAAACAUAGAUAGAUAGUUCCAAGAAAUCCUUCAGAAUGUAAUUUUAAUUUUUCUCGGAAGGACUAGUUUCCAUAAGAGCUUAUAGAAAUCACUAGAUCUGGUCUGUAAUGAAUAAGCACUAGGAUCCUCCAAAUUUUUUUGUAAUAGUUUGUAGGCGCUACGAAUCGAGAACUCCCUGAACGCUCCCCACCCCAGGUCAGAAAAUCCUCAUAGGCGUCCUGAGCAAGCAGAAUCCGAAGAAUAUGAUCAAACAUCCAACUGCAUGAAUAUAUCUCUUAUUAACCCCUACUUCCAGUUUCGAUCGCGACACCAUUAAAUUCUGCAAAAUUCAACUAUUACUAGACACUCUAAAAUUUGCAUUACCAAGAAUCCAUGCAUCAUCAAAUACAGAGAUUUUAUUCACAAACCCGCACGCCAACAUAAGCCGUCUUUUAAAACCCCUUUAGCUGCCCAAAUACUUUUCCAUGUGAAUGACGGAUUCGUCCCUAAUUAAGCAUCCAUAAAAUCAGAUAUUGGGAAAUAUUUAACUUUCAACACUCGAGUAAUAAGUGAAUUUGGACGAUUUAUAAUCCUCCACCCCUGUUUGGAUAGCAAAGAAAUAUUAAACAUUUCCAAGUCUCUAAAACCCAUCCCUCUAUCCUCCUUCAACUUACACAUAUGCCUCCAUUCACACUAAUGAAUCCCACGCUUCCCUUGUCCUUUUUGCCACCAAUAUUUCUCUAUAAUGCUUUCAAUUUCACCACAAAAAGACUUAGGCAAUAAGAAACACGACAUUGUAUAGGUGGGAAUUGCUUGCAACACAAAUUUAAUAAAGAUUUGCUUUCCUCCUUGUAACAAUAGCCUUGUACUCCAAUUCUCAUUCUCACCUUAAUCCUAUCCUUUAGACUUUGGAAAGAUGCUUUUCUAUUUCUACCUACCAUAUUCAGCAACCCCAAAUACUUCUCAGCAUUGCUUGAAAAAUACACUCUCAUAAAAUUUAAAACUCGGUUCUUCUCCCUCUCAGGCACAUUUGAGCUAAAGAAAAUUGAUGAUUUAUUCAAGUUCAUACUUUGGCUAGUACAAAUUUCAUAUUCCUUAAGAAUAUCUUUCAAUAAGAGAGCAUUUCUAGUUGUUGCCUCCCCAAAAAGGAUACUAUCAUCUGCAAAAAAAAAAAAAAAAGUGAGAUUCUAAGCCCUCCUCUACUAGCAUGUACCCCUUUCAAAAACCUCUCCUCUAUAGCCAGCCUCAUCAAGGCUAAAAGUCUUUCAUUGCAAAUGAGAAAUAAAAAAGGACUAAAAGGGUUCCCUUGAUGAAGGCCUCUUGAAGGCUAAAAACGUCUUCCCAUGCAACCAUUCACCAUUAUUGAAUAAAAAGCCGAAAAAAUACACCUUAAAAUGAGCCUUACCCAAUCAGCAACAAAACCUAUCUUUAACAUUAUAGCUUCUAAAAAAAUCCAUUCAACCCUGCCAUAAACUUUACUCAUAUCUAACUUUACUGCCAUAUAGCCCUUCUUACCAGUACACUUUUGGCGAAAAGUGUGUAGCAAUUCAUAAGCAGGUAAGAUAUUAUCAAAUAUCAAUCUCUUCGGUACAAAAGCGUUUUGAGCAUAAUCAACGUAGUUCUUAACAACACUCUAAAGUCUAUUUGCUAAAACUUUUGCCACAAUUUUAUAUAAAACAGUACAUAAGCUAAUGGGUCUAAAAGUUGUUAAGUUUUUGGAAUUUUGGGUUUUAGGAAUAAGAACGAUCUCAGUAAGAUUUGCAGUUCAAGAUCAUUACCUUCAUUAGGAACACCCAAAUAGUAAGUAAGAAUAUCAUUCUUAACGAUAUGCUAGUACUUCUGGAAAAACAUAGCUGGGAAACCAUCAAACCUCGAAACUUU